This 843-nucleotide ribosomal RNA is filed under the name uncultured bacterium. RNAcentral describes it as "bacterial SSU rRNA". It matches the Rfam family "Bacterial small subunit ribosomal RNA", at positions 21 to 869 of the family's 1533-position model. The record is from RNAcentral.
GGCUCAGGACGAACGCUUGCGGCGUGCCUAAGAAAUGCAAGUCGAGCGGGAGAGUAGCAAUACUCUCUAGCGGCGAACGGUCGCGUAACACGUAAGCAACCUGCCCCGAAGACCGGGACAACAGCUCGAAAGGGCUGCUAAUACCGGAUGUGGCCACCGGGAGACAUCUUCUGGUGAUUAAAACGAGCUAGCAAUAGUAUUCGGCUUCGGGAGGGGCUUGCGGCCUAUCAGCUAGUUGGUGGGGUAACGGCCUACCAAGGCGACGACGGGUAGCUGGUCUGAGAGGACGGCCAGCCGGACUGGGACUGAGAUACGUGCCCAGACUCCUACGGGGGGCAGCAAUUAGGAAUCUUGCGCAAUGGGCGAAAGCCUGACGCAGUGACGCCGCGUGGAGGAGGAAGUCCUUCGGGAUGUAAACUCCUUUUGCCUGGGAAGAAACAAAUGACGGUACCAGGUGAAUAAGCCCCGGCUAACUACGUGCCAGCAGCCGCGGUAAUACGUAGGGGGCGAGCGUUGUCCGAAGUUACUGGGCGUAAAGCGCGCGUAGGCGGGGGAUUAAGUGAGAGGUGAAAGGCUGGGGCUCAACCCCAGCAGUGCCUCUCAUACUGGUCUUCUUGAGGGCGGUAGGGAGAAGUGGAAUGGCUGGUGUAGCGGUGAAAUGCGUAGAUAUCAGUUGGAACACCGGUGGCGAAGGCGGCUUCUUGGGCCGUUCUUGACGCUGAGGCGCGAAAGCUGGGGGAGCGAACGGGAUUAGAUACCCCGGUAGUCCCAGCCGUAAACGAUGGAUAUUAGGUGUUGGGGGUAUCGACCCCCCCAGUGCCGCAGCUAACGCAUUAAGUAUCC